This 450-nucleotide ribosomal RNA is filed under the name uncultured Lactobacillaceae bacterium. RNAcentral describes it as "bacterial SSU rRNA". It matches the Rfam family "Bacterial small subunit ribosomal RNA", at positions 354 to 796 of the family's 1533-position model. Lineage: Bacteria; Bacillati; Bacillota; Bacilli; Lactobacillales; Lactobacillaceae. The record is from RNAcentral.
GUAGGGAAUCUUCCACAAUGGGCGCAAGCCUGAUGGAGCAACACCGCGUGAGUGAAGAAGGGUUUCGGCUCGUAAAGCUCUGUUGUUGGAGAAGAACGUGCGUGAGAGUAACUGUUCACGCAGUGACGGUAUCCAACCAGAAAGUCACGGCUAACUACGUGCCAGCAGCCGCGGUAAUACGUAGGUGGCAAGCGUUAUCCGGAUUUAUUGGGCGUAAAGCGAGCGCAGGCGGUUGCUUAGGUCUGAUGUGAAAGCCUUCGGCUUAACCGAAGAAGUGCAUCGGAAACCGGGCGACUUGAGUGCAGAAGAGGACAGUGGAACUCCAUGUGUAGCGGUGGAAUGCGUAGAUAUAUGGAAGAACACCAGUGGCGAAGGCGGCUGUCUGGUCUGCAACUGACGCUGAGGCUCGAAAGCAUGGGUAGCGAACAGGAUUAGAAACCCUAGUAGUCC